CAGCACCACGGUAAUACGGAGGGUGCAAGCGUUAAUCGGAAUUACUGGGCGUAAAGCGCACGCAGGCGGUCUGACAAGUCAGAUGUGAAAUCCCCGGGCUUAACCUGGGAACUGCAUUUGAAACUGUCAGGCUGGAGUCUUGUAGAGGGGGGUGGAAUUCCAGGUGUAGCGGUGAAAUGCGUAGAGAUCUGGAGGAAUACCGGUGGCGAAGGCGGCCCCCUGGACAAAGACUGACGCUCAGGUGCGAAAGCGUGGGGAGCAAACAGGAUUAGAUACCCGGGUAGUCCCUGUCUCUUAUACA
This 301-nucleotide ribosomal RNA is filed under the name uncultured bacterium. Its description in RNAcentral is "partial 16S ribosomal RNA". It matches the Rfam family "Bacterial small subunit ribosomal RNA", at positions 509 to 808 of the family's 1533-position model. The record is from RNAcentral.